GACGUAGGGCGCGAGCGUUGUCCGGAUUUAUUGGGCGUAAAGAGCUCGUAGGCGGCUUGUCGCGUCGACUGUGAAAACCCGAGGCUCAACCUCGGGCCUGCAGUCGAUACGGGCAGACUAGAGUUCGGUAGGGGAGACUGGAAUUCCUGGUGUAGCGGUGAAAUGCGCAGAUAUCAGGAGGAACACCGGUGGCGAAGGCGGGUCUCUGGGCCGAAACUGACGCUGAGGAGCGAAAGCGUGGGGAGCGAACAGG
Molecule: ribosomal RNA, 253 nt
Filed under: uncultured bacterium
Lineage: Bacteria
Description: partial 16S ribosomal RNA
Rfam family: Bacterial small subunit ribosomal RNA
Source: RNAcentral